Taeniopygia guttata (zebra finch) is the source of this 1201-nucleotide non-coding RNA. Lineage: Eukaryota; Metazoa; Chordata; Aves; Passeriformes; Estrildidae. The record is from RefSeq and is a predicted model, not a curated record.
AGUAAUCCCAAAGCUGCUUCCCGUGAAACCAGAGAGAGGAACAGAAGAGAAACUGAAACAAGGACUGGGCUGCGUAAGAGAGUGCACAGAAAGCAAACAGGAAAGAUUCCACUUCCUACACUGCUACAGAGCACAUCAAACCUGUAACUUGCAAUUCAAGCCUGCAUUUCUGCUGUGAGCUGCACUGCAGGCUGGAGUUACACGGGACAGGGAAGACCAAGCAAGAAACAAGAGUUAUCUCAGAGAAAUCUUGCUGAAGUUACUCCACCCGAACUCUGGUCCAAUGUGGACAAACCAGACUGCUAGAAGAACAGACAAGGGGGAACUAGACCUACUUUCUCUCUGCUGGUGUUGCAGAACCCACCAAGAAUCAAGACAACAGCUUGAGUCAGCUUCUGCUUAGAUCAGGAAACCUGCUUCUUCCCUGAAUGUCCAUAGACUGGAAAUUCCGUUAAGGACCAGCCAGUAUUACCAAAGCUAAGAAAGAAAAAAUUCAGGAACAGAGGUUUUGUAACCAUAUGAUUUAGAAAGUCUGGAAAAAGGAAGCCCUUUGUUAAAAAAAAUAUCAAAAACCAACAAAAACAUAAAAAUGCCCACAGAACUCCAUCCUUUCCAAUACCACAGAACAACCUCCACAACAGACCUGACAUAUACAAACAAGACUCCAAGUGGGAACAUAUCAAAUACUUCUGAAAUGAAAAAGCUUUAUGAGCUAUUAAUAGUUUUACAGAAUGAAAAUAUGCAUUUACUGAGACUUUUAAGCUUCUGCAUUUAACAUGAGAUUUAAAAAAGAAUUUUUACUGAUAAUUUCUCUCUUUAGCAGGUGAAAAUCUGAACCUAUAACAUGUGCAGUGAUGAUGCUGAUUCAAACUCUAUUGACUACAUGUCAUCACAAAUUUCUUCCCUCACACUUUUCAGAUUUACAGGAGACAGGUCCCCUCUCACAGGCAGAGGGAUACCAAAAAAAGCAGUGAGGCAAGAACAGAGGAAGAAGGUAGAGAAACAUUCACGGAUCCAUGCUGACUGAUGUCAGGAUUAAAGCACAACAAUGCCAAAGACAGCUACUUUCAUAUGGGAAAGGAUGACAACCCAAGUGUACUCACAUGUAAAGCUCUCCCAGCAGCUUGUGGACAGGCAGCAAGCAGGAAAUAUCUUGGAUAAUAACUUUCCCAGCAGCUUUGAUGGGUCGGUUGUUGGCAUC